GCCCCUUCGAGUCGAUGUCGGACACAUGUUUACAAACUGAAAAUAGAAUGAUUUGUGAAGUUGAACGUUUUCUCACCAAAGAAUACGUAUGUAGACAUGCACACUCAUUUAAUCUGCAGCUACGAAGUACUUUGUCACUCCUCUGGAACAUUAUUCUAAGCAGAAUUAUUCAGAUUCAUAUAUUCUAAGAAACUUGUGUGAAUUGUUUACGAGGAAAUUCCAACUGUCACAUUAACAAGGAUGAGCACUCUUGACUCUGCUUGGGAUUUCCUAGUGAUAAUUGCAUCGAGUGAUGAAAGAGCUGACGGCGACAUUUUAAUGUAUGAUUGGCUUGGACCAUUGGAAUGAAGUCAUUUCAUGGUGCCACCACUUGGGAUGGUAUUAGCUGCAAAUAUAGACUUGUACUUAGCACUUAUUGCCUUUAAGAAGUAUGAGAUCCAUUUUGUGCUAACACCUACCAUGACACAGAAUCUUGGUUUAUGCAGUCUCAUAGGAGUAACCUGUCUAAAGCAUUUAGCAAUGGGAUUGGAGCCUGAGACGUGUGACUCAUCUGAAUACUGAAUUUUGAUACCAAGCAUGACCGUGAUUUGCCAGAAGAUCAUCUGUUUGGAUGUGACAUGGAAUAAACAGCAUAGUGAAAAUAAGUCAAGUUUUGGUUUGUGACGACAACUUUUAAACACACUGUGUAUCAUUUUUAAAUUUUGAUUUGACAACAUAAAUCCACAAAUAUGAGCAUAUCAAUUGCUCUCAGUUUUUCAAGUGAAAUAGUUUUUGUAACAGAAAUACAUGUACCAGUAAUUACAUUGGACAAAAUGUUAUUUUUAAAUAUAAUAAUAUUUUGUUUGUGUUGCAUGUUGACCUCUUUAUUAAGGUCUUCCCUUUCAAAGUUUAGACUUACUUAUUCUAAUGAUUUAGAUAGAUCCUCUGUCUUCAGCAGGAAUAUAAGAUCUUGUAAUACAUGUAUGUGUAUUUUUACAGUAUAAUGUAAAAAAAAAAUUAUUUUGGCACAUACAAUUAAAUAAAGUCAUAUACAUGUGUAUGAUUCCAAGGAAUUCAAUACAUAGGGCAUGUACAUGUAGUUUUCUAAAACAAGAUUAAAGAGAUGUCCAGUCACAUUUCAACUGCAAAACUGUGCCUGUUGCAUACUUAUUAGCCCAUCUGAGCUAAAGGAACAAGUAAAUUUUUUAAAAACAUAAUUUUAUCCAUUAUCAUCAUUGUCUAAAAUUUCACAAUAUCAUUUUCCAGAACCAAAGUGAAACUUGGCAUAGAGCAUCCUUAGUGUAGGGGAUUCAAAUUGUUCUUAUGCAGGGCAAUACUUUCAAAGAGAUUUUUUUCUUUAAUGCUGUAAAUGUAUUAUAUUUAGCAUGUACAAUAUUUGGUGGAAAUUGACUUUUGAAUAAGUUAGCGUAGAUAUUCUUAUUUAUAUUUAUGUACAAAACUUUUAGCUUUGUACUUGAUUUAGUGAUUGCUGCAUUCCACAAAAGCCGCUAAAAAAGAAUACACAGCCAUAUGUAAUAUGUUUACAAUAAACCUUUCAGAGAAUUUUACACUCCUAUUGAGGUACCACCAGUUGCUAGUGGAAAGCUGCAAAUUCGAAAUAUACACAACACAUUUCUGUGCGUUUAUUAUAAAAGUAUUGUUCUACUUACUGAUUGCAACUAAUGAAGAUUGUUCAUCAUUAUUGUAAAUACAUUUGGAUUUUUUGAUUUAUUAUAUAAAAAUUUGUUUAUUUUA
Saccostrea cuccullata (small rock oyster) is the source of this 1734-nucleotide long non-coding RNA. RefSeq lists it as uncharacterized. The record is from RefSeq and is a predicted model, not a curated record. The transcript has 3 exons. NCBI's taxonomy places the organism in Eukaryota, Metazoa, Mollusca, Bivalvia, Ostreida, Ostreidae.